GGCUCGGUGGUGUAGUUGGUUAUCACGUCAGUCUAACAUGCGUUAGCGCACUGAAGGUCCCGAGUUCAAACCUCGGCUGAGUCA
Molecule: transfer RNA, 84 nt
Filed under: Kalmusia sp. IMI 367209
Lineage: Eukaryota; Fungi; Ascomycota; Dothideomycetes; Pleosporales; Didymosphaeriaceae
Description: tRNA-Val
Source: RNAcentral